RNAcentral lists this ribosomal RNA (489 nucleotides) under uncultured bacterium. RNAcentral's name for it is "bacterial SSU rRNA". It matches the Rfam family "Bacterial small subunit ribosomal RNA", at positions 30 to 507 of the family's 1533-position model. The record is from RNAcentral.
UUGAACGCUGGCGGCAGGCCUAACACAUGCAAGUCGAACGGUAACAGGAAGCAGCUUGCUGCUUCGCUGACGAGUGGCGGACGGGUGAGUAAUGUCUGGGAAGCUGCCUGAUGGAGGGGGAUAACUACUGGAAACGGUAGCUAAUACCGCAUAAUGUCGCAAGACCAAAGAGGGGGACCUUCGGGCCUCUUGCCAUCGGAUGUGCCCAGAUGGGAUUAGCUUGUUGGUGGGGUAACGGCUCACCAAGGCGACGAUCCCUAGCUGGUCUGAGAGGAUGACCAGCCACACUGGAACUGAGACACGGUCCAGACUCCUACGGGAGGCAGCAGUGGGGAAUAUUGCACAAUGGGCGCAAGCCUGAUGCAGCCAUGCCGCGUGUAUGAAGAAGGCCUUCGGGUUGUAAAGUACUUUCAGCGGGGAGGAAGGGAGUAAAGUUAAUACCUUUGCUCAUUGACGUUACCCGCAGAAGAAGCACCGGCUAACUCCGUG